RNAcentral lists this ribosomal RNA (468 nucleotides) under uncultured bacterium. RNAcentral's name for it is "partial 16S ribosomal RNA". It matches the Rfam family "Bacterial small subunit ribosomal RNA", at positions 28 to 507 of the family's 1533-position model. The record is from RNAcentral.
GAUGAACGCUGACAGCAUGCUUAACACAUGCAAGUCUACUUGAAUUUGGGUUUUUUAACUUAGAUUUGGGUGGCGGACGGGUGAGUAACGCGUAAAGAACUUGCCUCACAGUUAGGGACAACAUUUGGAAACGAAUGCUAAUACCUGAUAUUAUGAAUAUAUGGCAUCAUAUAAUUAUGAAAGCUAUAAGCGCUGUGAGAGAGCUUUGCGUCCCAUUAGCUAGUUGGAGAGGUAACGGCUCACCAAGGCGAUGAUGGGUAGCCGGCCUGAGAGGGUGAACGGCCACAAGGGGACUGAGACACGGCCCUUACGCCUACGGGAGGCAGCAGUGGGGAAUAUUGGACAAUGGACCAAGAGUCUGAUCCAGCAAUUCUGUGUGCACGAUGACGUUUUUCGGAAUGUAAAGUGCUUUCAGUUGGGAAGAAAAAAAUGACGGUACCAACAGAAGAAGUGACGGCUAAAUACGUG